This 1023-nucleotide long non-coding RNA is filed under the name Dasypus novemcinctus (nine-banded armadillo). Its description in RNAcentral is "lncRNA (ENSDNOG00000050131.1)". The record is from RNAcentral. Lineage: Eukaryota; Metazoa; Chordata; Mammalia; Cingulata; Dasypodidae.
UAAGAAGAUUUUCAUUCUUAACUAUUUUUUUUCCCCGUGCUUUGUAGAUUGGAAGUGGUAUUUGAGGAAAGGGACAUUUUGAUGCAUGGAAUUCUUGCCAGUACUCCAAUGAAUUGCUGAUUUUGUUAUUUGUACCAGCUCACUCUCCAGAGGCCGCCAACAUUCCAUCGAGGCGCUGGACUGGUUAGCCAAUGACAGGCAACGGGAUCGGCCCGCCAGCCAACCUAAGGCAGGGACACGGCCUUUUGCUGCCGCGCUUCCCCAUGACGGGUAAGACUGGCCACCUGUGUGGCACGGGCAUUGCCCGGCUGGGCGCAAUCCCGACCUAAGACAGGCACAGUCCCCCUCCCUCCUCAAAUCAAGCUUUUCGGAGGAGCUUAAUAAAAACAAAGGGGGAAAUGUGGGAGGAAGGGCACCCGGCUUGCCACAGUAGCAAACGGUGCGGCAAGAAGUGAUACCGCCUCUGCCCACUGGGCCUAGAUAAGGUGACCACGCCUGACUAGGCCUUUGCUGCUAGCGGCUGGCCGGCGCUGCCCUCCCCCUUUCUAUCUCCCGCCUAGCCCAACAUCCGGCCAGCUCUCACUCCCCCUUUCCCCUCCCCUAUUCCAAACCUCUCAGCUAGCCCUCCCUAUAUCUUACUCCUCCCUCUACCCAACCCUAUAUAACCAAGUGUACUUCCGUAAUAAAGCAGACCUGUUCUUGCGCUCAAGCGGUCUCCGUGGUUUUUCCCCAACCACGCGUCCCCCACGCCUGGAGAACCGGUGCUCCCUCUUGGGGCACCCCCCGCCGGUGGUUUGGCAGGAGCAAGCCCCCCCGACUCUUGGGCCCGAGCGAGGACGAGACCCUCACACUCAGCCACAGCCAAGGACUGACACUGCGACAGUAGCUCUAGAAGGGAAGAGGAACUUCAGAUGCCCUUGCCUAAACCCUCAGACGUCAGCUGCAGAGGGCAAGCGGACACCCACUCGGAGUCAGUGGUUCCCCGUGCUUGCCCUGGCCUCUUGGGCACCUUUCAGGAAAUGA